Molecule: long non-coding RNA, 455 nt
Organism: Cyprinus carpio carpio
Lineage: Eukaryota; Metazoa; Chordata; Actinopteri; Cypriniformes; Cyprinidae
Source: Ensembl
UGUACCUUCCCCUAAAGCUCCGUUGUUGCACUCAGGUCCUUCGGGUCCAUUGAAAGACACUUUACAGGAGUAUCUUAAAGUACUCACGUGCGCAUUGAAGAAUGCCCAUUUCAGUGCCCUCAGUGCUCAACAUGCUGGAGAUCUUAAAAACACUAUAUUCAAUUGGGGGAUGAGGUAAUGAUACAAAAAAUAGGGAACUUAGGACCAAUGUCCUCCAGGUAUGAGGGUCCUUAUUUGGUGUUGUUGACUACUCCAACAUCUCUUCUUGUUGAAAUCGAGCCAGGGCUGACUCGAUGGAUGCAUCUUGCACAAGUGAAGCCUCUGUCGCCGCUUGCUGAUACUAACUCUCUUUCUAAUGUGAUUUAGUCCAACAGGUGCAGUAUUUUAUAUCCAAGGAAUGGCUGCUAAGGAAGAACAAUGACUAAUUGUUUCCUCUCUUUAGGUUCUCAACUAUG